CAGCAAGUGUAGGAAAGCAGAAGAAAGCUGUCAAACCUGAUCCCAUAAAGGUCAUUUCUUCUGAACAUGAAGUGGAGACUAAUGCUGGAGUGGAUCCAGGGCUGAGAAGUUCUGCAGCUGAUUCCAAACACUCAAUGCCAGUAGAACUACAGCAAGAACAAACCUCAGUGGAAAACAACAAUUUUUCUCCAAGGAGACCCAGAACACGCUCCUUUGCACCUCAAAACUUUGUGUUUCAGCCUCUGAGUGGAUUGGCAACCUACACUGUGACACCCAUGUCUCCUUCAAGGGCAAAUGCUUUUUUGACACCCAGUGCUGUCUGGAAGUUUUCAAAGUCUCCAGUCAAAAUAUUUGAAAAAUCCAGUGAAACUAAAGCACAAAGGCCUAAUUUAAAAAGUCAAACUUCACCUUCUGUUGAAGGCAUUCAAGAACAGCAAAUGACCACAAGCUCGAAAGGAGGAGGUAGGAAGUUCACAUUUAGUUUAUGCUGAUGCUUUUAAUUAUCACCAGAUUCUGAACAAAUUCCUUUCAUACUUUUCAGCAGGUGAAUCAGAUGAGAGAACUUCCACUCAGGGAUCAAGCAAAACAACUCCUGUCU
Long non-coding RNA from Lonchura striata (white-rumped munia), 598 nucleotides. The record is from Ensembl. Lineage: Eukaryota; Metazoa; Chordata; Aves; Passeriformes; Estrildidae.